Molecule: transfer RNA, 87 nt
Filed under: Streptomyces capoamus
Lineage: Bacteria; Bacillati; Actinomycetota; Actinomycetes; Kitasatosporales; Streptomycetaceae
Also listed under: 1 other name
Description: tRNA-Val
Source: RNAcentral
CUCGGCUGGGCCGGCUGGAACCACCGGGACCAGGCCGACGCCCUGGUCGGUCUCAUCCGCAGCCGGAUCGAGGUCGGCGGCUGGGAC